GAAAUGCGAUAAGUAGUGUGAAUUGCAGAAUUCAGUGAAUCAUCGAAUCUUUGAACGCACAUUGCGCCCUUUGGUAUUCCUUAGGGCAUGCCUGUUCGAGCGUCAUCUAAACCUUCAAGCCCUGCUUGGUGUUGGGUGCCUGUCCCGCCUCCGCGCGCGGACUCACCUCAAAUCCAUUGGCGGCCCCCGCGUCGGCCACGAGCGCAGCAGAAACGCGAACUCGUGAGCACGUCCGGGCGGCUCCCAGAAGCUACACCCACCCAGUUUGACCUCGGAUCAGGUAGGGAUACCCGCUGAACUUAAGC
This 305-nucleotide unclassified non-coding RNA is filed under the name plant metagenome. Its description in RNAcentral is "partial contains 5.8S ribosomal RNA, internal transcribed spacer 2, and large subunit ribosomal RNA". The stretch from base 1 to 105 matches the Rfam family "5.8S ribosomal RNA", at positions 50 to 154 of the family's 154-position model. The record is from RNAcentral.